UGUGCAUGUUUGCUUUUGAAUAAAGAAGAGAGAUUUGUCUGGAAGCUGCUGACUGGGUCAACAGAGGCUGAACACUGAGGAGACAUGGAAGCUGUGAUUGGACUGUUGCUGAUGCUACUCAGAGUCUCUCAUGGUGUGAAACAUGUGAUGGCAGACAGGAUGGAGCUCAGUGUUAUGGAGCUUUGGGAGGAACUGUGUUCCUCCAGCUGAUGGACAGCGCCUCAGAAAUAUUUAGAUACCAAUUGUUAAGCAACAGAACAGGAAUACUUACAGGGACAAAGAAUCAGAUUUUUUAAUGUGAUAGAAGACAGAUCCUCAUUUACUCCCAGUAAUGGAACAUUUCGGAUCAACAAAUUGAGCUGGACUGAUGGUGGUGAAUAUACUGUUGUAAUCUUUGAUUCAAAUGGACAGAGAUCAGAGCUGCGGACUCUACAUUUGACCAUUCAAGCUCCUGUGUCCUCUGUCCUGCUGGUCUCUGAGUGUCUGUCCCAGGGAGAGAUGAGGGUGUCCUGCUCCUCUGAGGGAGGGGACAGUCCUCAGUACAGCUGGACUCUGGAUGGACACACACUGACAGACGCUCAGCUCCUCUCUGGAAACAAUGAGAGUAACAACAUCACUUUGAAACAAGACGUGUCAGGACAGCUGGUCUGCUCAGUCAGGAAUAACGUCAGUAGUGUCUCCAAAAAAGAGAAGAUAUCUACCUGUGGCUUCAUAUUCAUUAACUGCACCAUCAAUAUGACACACAUAUCACAGUGGGUGCUUGAAGCCAAUAACACCCUGUGCAUUGAACCAACAACAACAAACACCUACCAUGAUCACAGACACUGAGACCUCCACUGACAAUCGCUCCCAGCUCAUAUGUGGUGUGCGAGCAGCUGUGGUGAUUCUUUUAUUAAUUGGGAUCGCCAUCUAUUUUGUUUGGAAGAAAAAUAAAUAUCAGAUAGCUGAAGGCUCUGCCGACCCUCGAACAAUGAAAUAUCAAGAGAACUCUGUUGUGAUGGUUGAAAUGAGAAGUUCUGCAUCUGAACUUUAACUUUCUGAAACCAACACCUCAGUGUCGCCCCUCACACCUGCUGUGAUUGGCCUCAUGUCUUUCUGGAUGUGAAAACAGGGUUUAGAGUGGAAACUCUGUUCACUCUGUCACUUCACUGGUUAUUGACUUGGUGAA
This is a long non-coding RNA of Micropterus salmoides (largemouth bass), 1168 nucleotides long. RefSeq lists it as uncharacterized. The record is from RefSeq and is a predicted model, not a curated record. Lineage: Eukaryota; Metazoa; Chordata; Actinopteri; Centrarchiformes; Centrarchidae. The transcript has 5 exons.